GGCCGCUACUGACGCUGAGGAGCGAAAGCAUGGGGAGCGAACAGGAUUAGAUACCUUGGUAGUCCAUGCCGUAAACGUUGGGAACUAGAUGUAGGGCCUGUUCCACGGGUUCUGUGUCGUAGCUAACGCAUUAAGUUCCCCGCCUGGGGAGUACGGCCGCAAGGCUAAAACUCAAAGGAAUUGACGGGGGCCCGCACAAGCGGCGGAGCAUGCGGAUUAAUUCGAUGCAACGCGAAGAACCUUACCAAGGCUUGACAUGUAGAAGAACACUGCAGAGAUGCAGGACUCUUUGGACACUUCUAUACAGGUGGUGCAUGGUUGUCGUCAGCUCGUGUCGUGAGAUGUUCGGUUAAGUCCGGCAACGAGCGCAACCCUCGUCCUAUGUUGCCAGCACGUGAUGGUGGGAACUCAUGGGAUACUGCCGUGGUCAACACGGAGGAAGGUGGGGAUGACGUCAAAUCAUCAUGCCCCUUAUGUCUUGGGCUUCACGCAUGCUACAAUGGCCGGUACAAAGGGCUGCGAUACCGUAAGGUGGAGCGAAUCCCAAAAAGCCGGUCUCAGUUCGGAUUGGGGUCUGCAACUCGACCCCAUGAAGUCGGAGUCGCUAGUAAUCGCAGAUCAGCAACGMUGCGGUGAAUACGUUCCCGGGCCUCGUACAC
RNAcentral lists this ribosomal RNA (659 nucleotides) under uncultured bacterium. Its description in RNAcentral is "bacterial SSU rRNA". It matches the Rfam family "Bacterial small subunit ribosomal RNA", at positions 732 to 1388 of the family's 1533-position model. The record is from RNAcentral.